This 273-nucleotide ribosomal RNA is filed under the name uncultured bacterium. RNAcentral's name for it is "partial 16S ribosomal RNA". It matches the Rfam family "Bacterial small subunit ribosomal RNA", at positions 524 to 796 of the family's 1533-position model. The record is from RNAcentral.
UACGGAGGGAGCUAGCGUUGUUCGGAAUUACUGGGCGUAAAGCGCACGUAGGCGGCUUUUCAAGUCAGGGGUGAAAUCCCGGGGCUCAACCCCGGAACUGCCCUUGAAACUGGAUGGCUAGAAUACUGGAGAGGUGAGUGGAAUUCCGAGUGUAGAGGUGAAAUUCGUAGAUAUUCGGAAGAACACCAGUGGCGAAGGCGACUCACUGGACAGUUAUUGACGCUGAGGUGCGAAAGCGUGGGGAGCAAACAGGAUUAGAUACCCCCGUAGUCC